RNAcentral lists this ribosomal RNA (465 nucleotides) under Vreelandella stevensii. RNAcentral's name for it is "partial 16S ribosomal RNA". It matches the Rfam family "Bacterial small subunit ribosomal RNA", at positions 338 to 795 of the family's 1533-position model. The record is from RNAcentral. Lineage: Bacteria; Pseudomonadati; Pseudomonadota; Gammaproteobacteria; Oceanospirillales; Halomonadaceae.
CCUACGGGGGGCUGCAGUGGGGAAUAUUGGACAAUGGGCGAAAGCCUGAUCCAGCCAUGCCGCGUGUGUGAAGAAGGCCUUCGGGUUGUAAAGCACUUUCAGUGGGGAAGAAAGCCUUGGGGCUAAUACCCUCGAGGAAGGACAUCACCCACAGAAGAAGCACCGGCUAACUCCGUGCCAGCAGCCGCGGUAAUACGGAGGGUGCGAGCGUUAAUCGGAAUUACUGGGUGUAAAGCGCGCGUAGGCGGUCUGAUAAGCCGGUUGUGAAAGCCCCGGGCUCAACCUGGGAACGGCAUCCGGAACUGUCAGGCUAGAGUGCAGGAGAGGAAGGUAGAAUUCCCGGUGUAGCGGUGAAAUGCGUAGAGAUCGGGAGGAAUACCAGUGGCGAAGGCGGCCUUCUGGACUGACACUGACGCUGAGGUGCGAAAGCGUGGGUAGCAAACAGGAUUAGAUACCCGUGUAGUC